AGCGACUUAAAACAUACACUAUUAUAGAUUUAUAGUUCCUAUCCAUAUGAACAAUCAACAGAACACACAUGGAGAGGUAAGGGGGGAUACAUAGUGGACCAGAAGAUCAUCAAUCUUCAUCCUAUAAAUGGAGAUAGUUCUGUAUCAUUUACAGUCGUCGCAAGCAUGCAUAAAUGGAGAGAAGGCAAGUAUGAACUCCAUGGAAAUUAGGAUAACAAGCGCAGCCAAGAAGGAAAUCAAAUUGAAGGAGAGAUCCCAAUGUAGCUGUAUGGCUUGUUCCAUCCUAGUGCAACACAUGGAGCACAUCAUACAUUAAUAACACGAUAGAGGGAUCUUUCCGGAGAGUGGGACCGGAGGAGAGUUUGGAUGUAAGUUGCAAAGUAGAGAAAACAUUUGAAGGAACAAGAAGUCGUAGCGAUGAGCGUGCAAAGUGGAGGAGAUGGGAAGGGGUGAGAACGGCGCAACAAAGCAAGACGGCCAUGGAUGGCGGUGUUCUGGUGGCCUGAAGAACCAUGUUUAAGUUAGGAGCAGAAAGAGAAUCUGGGUUUGGAGCGGUUAGGUUGUUGGGUUCGGGUAGCAUUAAAGGGCUUGGCCCAAGAUAAGAAAACAUAUCAAAACACAAAUGUCAAAGUACAAACUAGAUACCUCUCCGCGUUUGAUGGUUAGCAUCAGGCGAGAAAGAUGUUCACUGGGCAAUUUGGGGGAGGAAAAAGAUAUGCUAUUAGUACUUACAUUUGUUUUGGUGAAUCUAUUAGUGCUUGU
This 762-nucleotide long non-coding RNA is filed under the name Arachis ipaensis. RNAcentral describes it as "long non-coding RNA (AIPA_LNC000327)". Lineage: Eukaryota; Viridiplantae; Streptophyta; Magnoliopsida; Fabales; Fabaceae. The record is from RNAcentral.